RNAcentral lists this ribosomal RNA (253 nucleotides) under uncultured bacterium. RNAcentral describes it as "partial 16S ribosomal RNA". It matches the Rfam family "Bacterial small subunit ribosomal RNA", at positions 524 to 776 of the family's 1533-position model. The record is from RNAcentral.
UACGUAGGUGGCAAGCGUUGUCCGGAUUUAUUGGGUUUAAAGGGUGCGUAGGCGGGUUAUUAAGUCAGUGGUGAAAUCCUGCAGCUCAACUGUAGACUUGCCAUUGAUACUGGCGCUCUUGAGUGCGCUUGAAGUAGGCGGAAUGUGCCGUGUAGCGGUGAAAUGCUUAGAUAUGGCACAGAACACCAAUUGCGAAGGCAGCUUACUAAGGCGAUACUGACGCUGAGGCACGAAAGCGUGGGGAUCGAACAGG